UGUGUCCAGUGUGUGUCUGUGUAUGUGUGUGUGUGUCCAGUGUGUGUGUGUACUGUACACACACACAUUGGACACACACACACACACACACACACACACACACUGGACACACACAA
Coregonus clupeaformis (lake whitefish) is the source of this 116-nucleotide small nucleolar RNA. RefSeq annotates it as small nucleolar RNA SNORA23. The record is from RefSeq and is a predicted model, not a curated record. The transcript has a single exon. Lineage: Eukaryota; Metazoa; Chordata; Actinopteri; Salmoniformes; Salmonidae.